AACUGAUACUACCUGCGGGAACCUGCGGAAGGAUCAUUACUGAGUGAGGGCCCCUCGGGGUCCAACCUCCCACCCGUGUUUAACGAACCUUUGUUGCUUCGGCGGGCCCGCCUCACGGCCGCCGGGGGGCUCCUGCCCCCGGGCCCGCGCCCGCCGAAGCCCCCCCUUGAACGCUGUCUGAAGUUUGCAGUCUGAGAAACUAGCUAAAUUAGUUAAAACUUUCAACAACGGAUCUCUAGA
This 240-nucleotide unclassified non-coding RNA is filed under the name soil metagenome. RNAcentral describes it as "partial contains 5.8S ribosomal RNA, internal transcribed spacer 2, and large subunit ribosomal RNA". The record is from RNAcentral.